GUCGGCGUAACUCAGCCUGGCUAGAGUGCGAGACUCAUGAUCUCGAAGUCCCGAGUUCAAAUCUCGGCGUCGACA
Molecule: transfer RNA, 75 nt
Filed under: Candidatus Aenigmatarchaeota archaeon
Lineage: Archaea; Nanobdellati; Candidatus Aenigmatarchaeota
Description: tRNA-Met
Rfam family: tRNA
About the family: Transfer RNA (tRNA) molecules are approximately 80 nucleotides in length. Their secondary structure includes four short double-helical elements and three loops (D, anti-codon, and T loops).
Source: RNAcentral